This 229-nucleotide long non-coding RNA is filed under the name Elaeis guineensis (African oil palm). RNAcentral describes it as "long non-coding RNA (EGUI_LNC023827)". Lineage: Eukaryota; Viridiplantae; Streptophyta; Magnoliopsida; Arecales; Arecaceae. The record is from RNAcentral.
UGUAGUUAGUCUUGUCUUUAGUUUCUUUUUAGGAUCUAUCUUUUGGGCCAUGUAAUGAUGUUGACUGAUUGACUGUUGUAUUUUGAUAUUUGUAUUGGAACAACUAUGUGGUAUCAGUCACUUUUUGAUUAUAUAUAUAUACUCUUUGACCUUCCAUGAAUGACCUUCAAAUUGAGUUACUUUCAAUUAUGUGCAUUCUUAAAAUACUAUGAAUUGCAAUAUGCUAUCC